ACGGGGGGGGCAAGCGUUGUUCGGAAUUACUGGGCGUAAAGGGCGCGUAGGCGGUUCGCUAAGUUGAAUGUGAAAACUCUGGGCUUAACCCAGAGCCUGCAUUCAAUACUGGCGGGCUAGAGUUCUGGAGGGGAUAGCGGAAUUCCUGGUGUAGCGGUGAAAUGCGCAGAUAUCAGGAAGAACACCAAUGGCGAAGGCAGCUCUCUGGGACGGUACUGACGCU
RNAcentral lists this ribosomal RNA (223 nucleotides) under uncultured prokaryote. RNAcentral describes it as "partial 16S ribosomal RNA". It matches the Rfam family "Bacterial small subunit ribosomal RNA", at positions 525 to 747 of the family's 1533-position model. The record is from RNAcentral.